CGCUUGCACUGGGGUCCUCCUCAAACCACGAUUAACAACUCCCCUCUAAUCAACCAUCGAAACGACUAAUCAAUCACGACGACCACAACACUAACAAUACUCCGACAACCUUAUCGACCAAAGAAGACUGAUGCGGAACUCAGGCAGGUAGCUAGAACUCAACGGCAGGUAGCUUAGCUAGAGCUGGCCGUAGGAGUGCGCGAGGUAGGCGAGUGCGCCGACGAGCGGCGCGUUGAUGUAGGUGGCCGGCUCCGAGUGCUCGUGGUCGUUGCGCUGGUCGGGGAACUUGUCCUGGAGGUCGGGUCCCCCCACGACGG
Molecule: long non-coding RNA, 317 nt
Filed under: Setaria italica (foxtail millet)
Lineage: Eukaryota; Viridiplantae; Streptophyta; Magnoliopsida; Poales; Poaceae
Description: long non-coding RNA (SITA_LNC003388)
Source: RNAcentral